AUUGAACGCUGGCGGCAGGCCUAACACAUGCAAGUCGAACGAGUGGCGGACGGGUGAGUAAUGUCUGGGAAACUGCCUGAUGGAGGGGGAUAACUACUGGAAACGGUAGCUAAUACCGCAUACCAUCGGAUUUGCCCAGAUGGGAUUAGCUAGUGGGUGGGGUAAAGGCUACCCUAGGCGACAAUCCCUAGCUGGUCUGAGGGGAUGACCAGCCAAACGGGAACUGAGACACGGUCCAGACUCCAACGGGAGGCAGCAGUGGGGAAUAUUGCACAAUGGGCGCAAGCCGGAUGCAGCCAUGCGGCGUGUAUGAAGAAGGCCUUCGGGUUGUAAAGUACGUUCAGCGGGGAGGCGUUACCCGCAGAAGAAGCACCGGCUAACUCCGUGCCAGCAGCCGCGGUAAUAC
This 406-nucleotide ribosomal RNA is filed under the name uncultured bacterium. Its description in RNAcentral is "partial 16S ribosomal RNA". It matches the Rfam family "Bacterial small subunit ribosomal RNA", at positions 29 to 526 of the family's 1533-position model. The record is from RNAcentral.